This 492-nucleotide ribosomal RNA is filed under the name uncultured bacterium. RNAcentral's name for it is "partial 16S ribosomal RNA". It matches the Rfam family "Bacterial small subunit ribosomal RNA", at positions 29 to 507 of the family's 1533-position model. The record is from RNAcentral.
AGUGAACGCUGGCGGUAGGCCUAACACAUGCAAGUCGAACGGCAGCACAGUAAGAGCUUGCUCUUACGGGUGGCGAGUGGCGGACGGGUGAGGAAUACAUCGGUAUCUACUUUUUCGUGGGGGAUAACGUAGGGAAACUUACGCUAAUACCGCAUACGACCUACGGGUGAAAGCAGGGGAUCUUCGGACCUUGCGCGAUUGAAUGAGCCGAUGUCGGAUUAGCUAGUUGGCGGGGUAAAGGCCCACCAAGGCGACGAUCCGUAGCUGGUCUGAGAGGAUGAUCAGCCACACUGGAACUGAGACACGGUCCAGACUCCUACGGGAGGCAGCAGUGGGGAAUAUUGGACAAUGGGCGCAGGCCUGAUCCAGCCAUACCGCGUGGGUGAAGAAGGCCUUCGGGUUGUAAAGCCCUUUUGUUGGGAAAGAAAAGCAGCAGGUUAAUACCCCGCUGUUCUGACGGUACCCAAAGAAUAAGCACCGGCUAACUUCGUG